AGAAGAUUGCUUAACUCAUCCCAAUUUACAUAGAUGAAAUCUUGAGAAGAUUUCAUAUGGAGAAAUUGGUUUACUCUUAAGCGGUAUGUUGGAAAGGUUCCAAACAUGAAGCAACCGUUGAUUCAAUAGUAGAAACCUAAUACAUGGAUACUUCAGAAGUAGCAAAGAGUUGCAAUAUGGAUCAUGAUGUUCAUAAAUGAACUUGGAGUAGUUCCUAAUAUUGUUGAUCACAUACAAUAGUAUUGUGAUAACAAUAGAGCCAUUGCGAAAGCAAAGGAACUAAGGUCUCAUCAAUGAUCCAAACAUGUAUUAAAACGGUAUAAUCUCAUCAGAGAGAUAAUACAUAGAAAUGACGUAAAGAGAAGAGCAAAUUUUCACAUUUAAUAAAAUUGCAGAUCCACUGACAAAGAGUUGUCGUAGUAUAAACAUGAUCAUCAUGUAGACUUAUGAUAUUUGAUACAUAAGUGAUUGGAUCUAGUGCAAGUGGGAGUUUGUAAGUAUUAUGCCCUAGGUCCAAUCGACUUUGGACAUAAAUACUUUUAUAUAUAAUUAAUGCAAUUAAAUGGCAGAUCUAUUAUUUAAUUAAUAGACAAUUAAAUAAAUAAUAGAGUCCGUAGAUUCAAAUAUUUGUAAUUUGUUAAUCACAAGGAGUUGUGAUUGUGAGAUACAAAUUACAUCUGAUUGAAUCUUAAAUCAUCC
RNAcentral lists this long non-coding RNA (699 nucleotides) under Olea europaea (common olive). Its description in RNAcentral is "long non-coding RNA (OEUR_LNC012505)". The record is from RNAcentral. Lineage: Eukaryota; Viridiplantae; Streptophyta; Magnoliopsida; Lamiales; Oleaceae.